GGGUAGCUGUAAUCAGACACCAUUGUGUUGUAUUAAUUAUUGUGAAUGCACUGAAUGGAAACUGGAAAUCAGCAGGUAGUGGCCUAAGCUCAGCCCUUGUGAAGUUCUAAAAGGACCUUUGAAGCCUAACUGAGUGUUUAUAAACCCUUGGCAGAAAAUUGGGUGAUAGUCUCACCACCACAGCAGAAACACAAGCCGUUAUUGUCUGGCUUAAAGCAGCAGGGACCUCACCACUCCAGCUCUCGCCAGGUCUUUGGUUCAUGUUUCUUGUCUAACCGCCAAUGCAAGGAGCCCUCUCCCAAAGCCUAGAAGCAGCACAAGCUGUCAGCACUAAGGGACCAACACAGCCCUCCGUGAGCGACCACGUACCUGCUUCUCGACCACGGUUAGCAGAACCUUGGCCCCCUCAUAGGCCUUCUUUGCCUGGGCCAACCACAGUAAGAACAGUCAGCACUCACUGAGUACUUCACUCUGCACAGGGCACUGUUCAAAGCACUUUACGUGUAUUAAUGCAUCGAAUGGCCGAGCCUCACGGGAAUGUGCUGGAGAGAAAGAAAGACUGUGGCCCAGAUUCCCACAUGGUUUCUGUUCUCUAUUUCUAGCUGUGCUGUGAAGCUUACAUAACCUAAUUUGCAUUAUGGAACUAUUUUUAAAACCUCCAAAGAUCAGUGCUUCAGCAUCAAUGGAAGCUGUUAGCUCCUACCUACAAUGUGAACGUGGGAAAGGAUAUCUAUUCUUACAGCUACCUCAACUUUAACUCUUGACUUAAAACAGACUUUCUGGAAGAUGUUAUUAGGAAAGGAAGGGGCUCCUUCUUAUAUAAGAAGCACUUAGCUCUGCAUUUUGUAAGUUUGUUCCAAAGAGAAACAAAUUGGUUUGAAACUCCUCAGCACUGGGUCUUGGCUUUACCUCCCAUCUCCCUUCCAGGCCUCCAGGGAGGCAGAGAAUGCUAAGAUCACUAGACAACAUGGCUCAGGAGCACAAGCCAAAAUCCCACCGAACUUUCCUCCUCCACUUCAGAGGUCCCCGGCCUGUCCUGACGAGGCACUGGCAUAGAUGAAUGGGGAUUACUGGACAGGCUAUCUUCAGCUGUAAACUGCUCUUAAUGUCCCCGGCUUGUAGGGCUCGGAACUGCUGAACUCUAAUUGUGCAGGGAAAGGGGAAGGGUGUUUGUCCUUAGUUCUUUGCCCUAACUUACUACCGAAGAUUUUCCUCCACUACAGUUACUAAGGAAAUUUAAGAAACAGGAAAAUUAUCGUGAAUCAUCAACUGACUAUACAGGUAAAAUUCUCAUCAUCUGUCAUCAAAAAAUGUGGUCAGUAUUUAAAGUAACCACUGUGUUCUUCGUUAUGCUAUAAAAACUGAAAUGUCUGUUAUUUGUUUCAUUCAGUUCCCUCACUGGGACAGAUGUCUACAAACAUGAACAAGAGUAGGUUCCAGGCUGUCAAAACUACCAAGAAGAUACUAUAAAUGAGCCAUUUCCAAGGGACACCCAGUCUAGUGAUGUCAGAAGACCCACAUUAUUAAGUUAUAAUUAAACUAUUAACCAAAUUAAUAUUCUUUUGCCACUGCCAAUGCUGUAUUUGUCUCCCAAAAGUAAGAUAUUUAUAAUAAGCCCAAUUCCACCAACACUCAAGACUUAAAAUGCUUCCACUUAGAGCCUCUGUUCACUAGUACCCAGGAAAGGACCUACACGUGAUAGACACUGAGCUGCUGGAGCAGGACUGGUUGCAUCUGGUGCUAGUCAGCAAUACUGUGCACAACCUUCAUUACAGAAGCCAAAGCCACAUUCAAUGUACAUACAGGCUCUGUAUGGGAAAGAAUGUUGUUCCAGCAACCUUAAAAUUAGUAAUAAAAAGAAAUUUCUACUUAAAAACAAAUGUGAGACAUGAAGUUCAUUUUCAUCUAGAUAUAUAUAUAUAUGUUUAUCAAAUACAGCCUUAGCACAGAACAUCUAACAAGUAAUGAAAUAUAUUAAUGGACGCACUGAACAAAGGAAAUCCGGAUGAAAAUAUUUGGCCUAACCCUCACAUCCUUUAACUGUACUCCAUGACUGCUGAAUACGGUGGGAACAUAAGAAAUCUAGCUACCUAAACUGGAAAAGACAGAUGGAUUGCCUUCAGUCUAUUUGGUCUCUGCAGACUCAUGGUUCACCAUUCUGAGUCUUGCUAAAGUCAGCAAAACGAAUCAAUGAAACAUGAAAACUCCCAGCUGAAAUGGGCCCUCUUGUUUAUGUCUAGCCACUAAUGCACAGGAUGAGAAUGGCAAGUUACAACUAUUUCCAGCAAGUGAUGAGGUUUUAUUAAAGUAUCACCCACCAGUAACAAGGCCAAAGGUCAAGGAGAAUAAACAAACCACUGUGUUAUAUCCAUCGAGAAGCAAGAAACACUAUUAUUUGUUUUAUUUUACUCCUUUCACCCUCAUUGGUCCCCAAGGAAAGCUGGCACAUAAAUUUGCCGUAUUUUGUGAUGGGGAUGGUUUCCUUCAAAAGCAUAGAAUUUAGUGGGGAAGAGGAAAGCUAGCCCAUAUUAAAAUCAGACAAUUUUCAAGACAGCAAUUUGCACAUACUGACAGGACACCUCACUGCUGCCUUGGUGGGGGUGAGUACCUUAAUGAAACCAUGACCUUCUAGUAACGUCAUCAGCUUUCCAAACAAGGUGAGGAUGCAAGUGGAGGACUCAGGUCUGCACCCUUUACAGAACAGCACAAUGUUACUGACUAAUCGGUUUCCACCAGUGUAAUCAGGUGUCUUAAAAAUAAAUGCUGACCCAUGGCUGAAACCUGUCACUUGUCACAGCAGCACUCAACAAGAACUGGGACAAUCGAAGAGCAAGUUUUUAUGGGGACCCUGUUGCUGCUUUCGAUUCUGAUGUAAUUGAAGAGGAAAGGAGACCCUUCAAUGAAUCCCAGAAAACUUGCUAAUCUUCUAUCUGUAUGAAAAAGCCAGGAAGUGAACACAGGAUCUUACAGAGUGAAGAAGGCCACAAGAACAAGAGAGGGUGAUUGAUCGAUUAAUUUAUUAAUUUGUAAAACUUGAAAAUUCUGAACUAAAAUAAUCACAUUCCUCCUUCCCGUUCUCUGGGUAGUGCUGUCAUUUAAUAAGCAAUGCUGGGAUAACAGACUGCGACCUUUACCACAGGGGGUGCCCUUGCACGACAUGAGCACAAGGGCUUACAAAGUAGACUGGCUAGAACUAACCAUUGCCUUUGCUUUGUUUUAGCAGUUUGCUUACAAAUGAGUGGAUUUCUAGGGUCAGUGAUUAGUUUUCAAUUCUUUAUAAUUUGAUACCAAAACAUAUCAAAAAUAAUAAGCUAAAACAAUAUUCAAACCCAUAUUUUAUUGGCUUUGAUUACACACUUCAAAUAUUUACAAAGUUAAAGUUUAAAUGAAAAGUCUCUAUUGUAUUAAAAAAAGUAACUACAGCCCAAGUUAAAGUGCCC
Tupaia belangeri chinensis (Chinese tree shrew) is the source of this 3440-nucleotide long non-coding RNA. RefSeq lists it as uncharacterized. NCBI's taxonomy places the organism in Eukaryota, Metazoa, Chordata, Mammalia, Scandentia, Tupaiidae. The transcript has 2 exons. The record is from RefSeq and is a predicted model, not a curated record.